Molecule: long non-coding RNA, 265 nt
Filed under: Physcomitrium patens
Lineage: Eukaryota; Viridiplantae; Streptophyta; Bryopsida; Funariales; Funariaceae
Description: long non-coding RNA (PPAT_LNC002571)
Source: RNAcentral
AAGAAAAGACGGAGAAUUGGAUUUUUCUUCUUCAUAGAGUUUUGGGAAGACUGAGGCAAUCGUUGCUGAAGUCAGUGUUGUAAUGGUGAAUCGAGAUUUUUUUAAUGAAGUGGGUUUGAUUACUCUUGACUGUUUUGUGAAAUCGAGUUACGUCUGUGAUUGAAGGAUUAAAAAGGUGUCUAUAGGAUUGAGUAUGCGGAGUGAAUGAAAUUUAUUAGGUUAAUCUAACAAGACAGUCAGUGGAUACAAGAUCGUAAGUACAAAG